RNAcentral lists this small RNA (355 nucleotides) under Sandaracinaceae bacterium. RNAcentral describes it as "transfer-messenger RNA". It matches the Rfam family "transfer-messenger RNA". Rfam says of the family: Bacterial tmRNA, also known as 10Sa RNA or SsrA, is named for its dual tRNA and mRNA-like properties. Its role is to liberate the mRNA from a stalled ribosome. The record is from RNAcentral. Lineage: Bacteria; Pseudomonadati; Myxococcota; Polyangiales; Sandaracinaceae.
GGGGGUGUCACGGUUUCGACGGGGGCAGUGAGGCAAAGAUCGCGUGUCGCCGGGCCCGACAACGGCGUCAAAAAGAGUUGGGAACUGUAAGUGCGAACGACAGCACCUACGCUGUUGCGGCCUGAAUAGGACCAAAACAGCCGUCGAAGCGGAGAGCUUGCCAGUGCUCCCGUGGAGGCGUCAUCGAACUGGCUGGCGAUGCCCGAGCGACCGCGGGCUGAGCGAGACUUAGGUCGAUAGCGUGACGGAGAGUUUGCUCGUGGGCGCUCCGGCACGCGAUUCAACACACGAGCUACACACGUAGAAGUCGGCGCGGAGCGCCUUCGGACGCGGGUUCGACUCCCGCCACCUCCAA